UCUAAUAGUACAAUUAAAAUUUAUUGGUUUUGAUUAAUUGGAUAAUUUUUUUUUAUUUAAUAUUUGGAGGUGGAAUUUAAAUAUUGAAUUUUAAUAAAACUUAUAUUGAGGUCAAUAAAUUAAUUUAAAAACUAGGAUUAGAUACCCUACUAUUAAAACUUAUUUUUAUAGCCUUAUUAUUAUUAGAUAUGUUCUUAAAAGUAAAAUAAUUUGGCGGUAUUUUAGUCUUAUUAGAGGAACCUGUUCUAUAAUUGAUGAUCCACGAUUAUAAGUACUUAAAUUUUUAAUUUACAUAUCGUUGUUAAAAAUAUCUUAAUAGAGGAUGUUUAAUAAUUUUUUAAAAACUUAAUUCAGAUCAAGGUGUAGUUUAUGUUUGAGUAGAAAUGGGUUACAUUAGUUAAAACUGAAAAUUUUAAAUUUAAUUGUUAAAUGAAUAUGGAUUUAAAAGUAAAUUUUUAUAUAUAUAAAUUUUGAUUUUAGCUCUAAAAU
Molecule: ribosomal RNA, 489 nt
Filed under: Cassida piperata
Lineage: Eukaryota; Metazoa; Arthropoda; Insecta; Coleoptera; Chrysomelidae
Description: partial 12S small subunit ribosomal RNA
Source: RNAcentral